Molecule: long non-coding RNA, 867 nt
Organism: Sander lucioperca (pikeperch)
Lineage: Eukaryota; Metazoa; Chordata; Actinopteri; Perciformes; Percidae
Exons: 3
Source: RefSeq, a predicted model, not a curated record
UUGGGUUGGGAAUCGUUUCUUUUAGUAAUUUAGUAACAAUGUGGAUUAUCUUAUACAGAACACAUUUUAAAGUCUGCCUUUUGAAUUUGUUUUAGAUCAAACACCUUGGUGCCCACCAGCUGCGGGGUGAGUUAUUGUUAUCAACCAAAUCGCUGGUGAAAAUACUUGACGUGGAGUACUUCUCCAGGAAAAAUGGCUAACUGCUAAUAUUAAGCUAGCUUGUCAGAGAAAUUUUGCUUCCGGUGUGUGUAGCUCGGAGGGGAUGGUACCUCGUCAAGACCAGUUUUUCGUUCAGGAUCUCAACCUGUUUCUGAGAGGAUUACCAACCUAGAAAGCAGCAGGACACAUACUGUAUAACAGAAAGUUGAGGAGAACAGGGCCCGGCAGAGGGCUGGAGUAUCCAAACGAGCUGAGUGCCGACAUGGUCAUGUUAUUCAUGAUGACCUGGUGCAUCUGGGCAUUCUGGAUCAUCAUCAGCUCUACAAGGUUUAAUAGAAGGAGCAGAGCCAGGAGGCAUCAUGGUCGCUGGGAGCUGCUGCAAGAUAGUGGUGGGCUGGUUAGGAGCCUGGGAAGGAGAUAUAAGACUGUAAUGAGGCUCUCUGCCUGGAGGCACAGAGUCUGAGAAUAAACUAUAUUAUAUAUAACCUCUAUACUCGGGGUGAAGCUCUACUCCACAGUAAGGAAAAAGAACAAAGGAUUAUCUUCCCAUAUGCAAACAAUAUUAAAAACAUCACUUCUUGUAAUACUAGAAACAAUUGUAUUAUGACAUAAAGCUCAGUGAUUGGUUUUGUGUUUGAGCUAAACCGAGAGCAGCAGGUUAGUCGUUGCUAAGAUUACAAGCUUUAGCUGACAGCCUAAUGACCUCAU